RNAcentral lists this ribosomal RNA (484 nucleotides) under uncultured bacterium. RNAcentral's name for it is "partial 16S ribosomal RNA". It matches the Rfam family "Bacterial small subunit ribosomal RNA", at positions 30 to 507 of the family's 1533-position model. The record is from RNAcentral.
AUUGAAUGCUGGCGGCAGGCCUAACACAUGCAAGUCGAGCGGAUGAAGGGAGCUUGCUCCUGGAUUCAGCGGCGGACGGGUGAGUAAUGCCUAGGAAUCUGCCUGGUAGUGGGGGAUAACGUCCGGAAACGGGCGCUAAUACCGCAUACGUCCUGAGGGAGAAAGUGGGGGAUCUUCGGACCUCACGCUAUCAGAUGAGCCUAGGUCGGAUUAGCUAGUUGGUGGGGUAAAGGCCUACCAAGGCGACGAUCCGUAACUGGUCUGAGAGGAUGAUCAGUCACACUGGAACUGAGACACGGUCCAGACUCCUACGGGAGGCAGCAGUGGGGAAUAUUGGACAAAGGGCGAAAGCCUGAUCCAGCCAUGCCGCGUGUGUGAAGAAGGUCUUCGGAUUGUAAAGCACUUUAAGUUGGGAGGAAGGGCAGUAAGUUAAUACCUUGCUGUUUUGACGUUACCAACAGAAUAAGCACCGGCUAACUUCGUG